RNAcentral lists this antisense RNA (76 nucleotides) under Corynebacterium phocae. RNAcentral describes it as "ctRNA". It matches the Rfam family "ctRNA". From Rfam's summary of the family: Rolling circle replication plasmids contain a number of mechanisms to maintain a low copy number. One of these methods is to transcribe a small RNA called ctRNA (for counter-transcribed RNA) than is transcribed on the opposite strand to RepB the replication initiation protein. ctRNA binds to the mRNA of repB and causes translational inhibition. The record is from Rfam by way of RNAcentral. Lineage: Bacteria; Bacillati; Actinomycetota; Actinomycetes; Mycobacteriales; Corynebacteriaceae.
GCUUUCUCCCAGGUAUAGACUGGGUGAUAAGCGAAGGUCAUCAGGCGGUCAACCUGGUGGCCUUCAUUUUUUAUUU